GGGGUGGUAGCUCAGUUGGUAGAGCGUUCGCUUCGCAUCUAACACGGCAGCAUGCGAAAGGUCCUGGGUUCGAUUCCCUGCCACUCCA
Non-coding RNA from Thozetella sp. PMI_491, 88 nucleotides. The record is from the annotation of a GenBank genome assembly. Lineage: Eukaryota; Fungi; Ascomycota; Sordariomycetes; Chaetosphaeriales; Chaetosphaeriaceae.